AGCUCAGUGGUUCAAUGGAAAAAGCGCUCGUCGCGGAGCCAGAGAGUCUUGGGUUCGAUCCCCGACGGGGUCG
This 73-nucleotide transfer RNA is filed under the name Schistosoma japonicum. RNAcentral describes it as "tRNA-OTHER". The record is from RNAcentral. Lineage: Eukaryota; Metazoa; Platyhelminthes; Trematoda; Strigeidida; Schistosomatidae.